RNAcentral lists this ribosomal RNA (301 nucleotides) under uncultured bacterium. RNAcentral's name for it is "partial 16S ribosomal RNA". It matches the Rfam family "Bacterial small subunit ribosomal RNA", at positions 509 to 808 of the family's 1533-position model. The record is from RNAcentral.
CAGUCGCCGCGGUAAUACGUAGGUCCCGAGCGUUGUCCGGAUUUAUUAGGCGUAAAGGGAGCGCAGGCGGUUUAGUAAGUCUGAAGUUAAAGGCAUUGGCUCAACCAAUGUAUGCUUUGGAAACUGUUAGACUUGAGUGCAGAAGGGGAGAGUGGAAUUCCAUGUGUAGCGGUGAGAUGCGUAGGUACAUGGAGGAACACCGGUGGCGAAAGCGGCUCUCUGGUCUGUCACUGACGCUGAGGCUCGAAAGCGUGGGUAGCGAACAGGAUUAGAUACCCGGGUAGUCCCUGUCUCUUAUACA